AAAUGACAGAGGAGACGGACUCUUGUCUGGAUGUUACAGGGACAGAUGAGACACAAGUGUGUUUAUCUGCUGCAGAGACACUGAUGGAGGAAUGAUGCCAUCAAGACUCUCAAUCUUUUGUGAUGGAGGAGCAGGACCUGCAAGGAAAGGUGACGUUUGUGAAAAAAGGGAAAACCUGAAAAAAAGGAUAAAGAUCUGAAUGUCUGCAGACUGGUGUGUGUUGUGAGGAUGGAGAAGACCACAGCAUCAUCCUGGAAAUGAUCGAGAGACACGGAUGAGACGCUCCAUCACUCCACCUGCCAUUUACUGUCUCAUCAGGACCAGGUGAGACGCUCAUUAAAGCACAAAAAUCUGCAAUUAUCUUAAAGUCAUUAGUUAUUUUCCUAUCAGUGUAUAGUUGCCGGAUAUAAUUUUUAACCUGCUGCCUU
Molecule: long non-coding RNA, 428 nt
Organism: Carassius auratus (goldfish)
Lineage: Eukaryota; Metazoa; Chordata; Actinopteri; Cypriniformes; Cyprinidae
Exons: 3
Source: RefSeq, a predicted model, not a curated record